GCCUAUCUUCCCUCUCGCGCCUCUAGCCUGAAACCCUCGCGGCACAGUCGCUGCAGCUAACUGGGAAGGCGACGACGGGAUCGCGGCGUACAAAACCUCCGAAACUCCGGUUGAGUGGAUAUCAAAGUCCUUUAAUUAACAUUCAUUUCGUGAUAGCUUAAAUUACAAUGGCUUUGAGGCAGAUGCUUGGGUGGUCUGAUGGAGAAUUGAUGAGGUCAGAUGCAAAGCCCUGCACCCGACUCAUGAGACACACGGCGGGGGUAUUCUCUGUCGGAGGAGGCCUCACCUUUUGGGUUCUCUGUAGGUUGCAUUAUGACUCCAGAAUUACUGCUCCAAGAAGUAUCAGGUGGGCUGCUUGUGGAGCCAUAUCAAUGAGCUGCACAUCAGCCUUGCUGGUCCGCCUCUUAAGUCCAGAGUGUGAACCACAGAAUAUAGCUGCUUAUGAUAAGGGCGUCUGAAACAAUCACUGGCGUGCUGUUCUGAAGACUGACUAUUAGUUAUCUGCUGAGACUCUGCUCUUAUUACACCAAUCUGAUCACUGAAUGAAGUGGGAAAAUUGCAGGAGAUUCUCACUCUUCUUCAGAUCACUUGGAUGACAUACUGUAGAUGUUUGGUUUCCACAACAUUGUAGACUACAUUUUGAGGUACAAUACAUCAAUAAAUAACUUUUUGAAUGAAGAGUUUUUGUUCAAGACUAGCAUUUCCACUCACCAUGGAUGAUCCUAUGCUACGAUGUUGAAGAAAUCUGAGAAGAAGCGUCCAGACCCGACUCCUACUUUUUCAAAGCGGCCUCAGUAGGACAGUGAUUGUGGGUUAGUUUCUCUGAAGCAGAGUAAGAGCAGUGACAGAACAAAAAGACCUCCGUCCAAUCCCUCAAAAAUUCAUAUUUUGGAGAGUACUGAAUCAUUCAUGCACUGGGUACCAAUAAGCCUAAGAAUAUGUGACAAAUGAGAUGAAACUUGAAGUGGGGUUAUAUCUUUCCUUGAUAAAGUGAAACUCCGAAUUUGUCAAGAUCAAAUUCCUCCACGACGAGUUCGUAACGUCCUAUUUCAUCUCCUCGAGGGAGUCAAAAAGUGGAAGAUGAAGUGAGCUGUCAGGAUUGUGAAGAUUUGAUUCGUUCUAUAAAUGGAUGCAUAUGUCGAAAGGCAGAGGCAAGAUUGAGAGCGGGAGAACAAAAAAGAGAAGUCGUGUGGUUAUCUUACUAGAGAUUUUAUUCUAAUUGGAACAUUAAGGGCUCUGACGUGAAGAAGGAAGAUAGCUGAAGUGCAUCUUGGGCAAGCGUUUAUGCUCUUGACGAAGUGAAGACGUUUCUGUUGAGUGCGAGUAUCGUGAUGAAGAAGAAGCUGGCCCAUACACUAGCCAAAUUUUUUAGAGGAAGCGACUUUCGUGUGUAGGAGUAGAGCCAAUUUCAACAAGUGGGCUUGCGGGAGAGGAGCUCAUGUGCUGAUAGAAGACUUAUGCGUGCGCUCAGGAAUAAGAAGGGAGAUCCUUGUGUAGACGAAGGAAUUGACAAGCUAAAGCCUGCGAAGGGGGAAGACGGGCACAUUGUCGAAGUUGAAGGUGUUGAAGCAGAGGAAGAAUAAGA
Phalaenopsis equestris is the source of this 1585-nucleotide RNA transcript. RefSeq lists it as uncharacterized. The transcript has 5 exons. The record is from RefSeq and is a predicted model, not a curated record. Lineage: Eukaryota; Viridiplantae; Streptophyta; Magnoliopsida; Asparagales; Orchidaceae.